Molecule: non-coding RNA, 103 nt
Organism: Colletotrichum caudatum
Lineage: Eukaryota; Fungi; Ascomycota; Sordariomycetes; Glomerellales; Glomerellaceae
Source: the annotation of a GenBank genome assembly
GGUUUCGUGGUGUAGUUGGUUAUCACGUCAGUCUAACAACCUCGAGAGCUUCGCCUAUCAUCUGUUCCACUGAAGGUCUCCAGUUCAAACCUGGACGAAAUCA